RNAcentral lists this ribosomal RNA (432 nucleotides) under uncultured bacterium. Its description in RNAcentral is "partial 16S ribosomal RNA". It matches the Rfam family "Bacterial small subunit ribosomal RNA", at positions 29 to 506 of the family's 1533-position model. The record is from RNAcentral.
AACGAACGCUGGCGGCAUGCCUAACACAUGCAAGUCGAACGAGACCUUCGGGUCUAGUGGCGCACGGGUGCGUAACGCGUGGGAACCUGCCCUUAGGUUCGGAAUAACUCCCCGAAAGGGGUGCUAAUACCGGAUAAUGUCUUCGGACCAAAGAUUUAUCGCCUUUGGAUGGGCCCGCGUUGGAUUAGCUAGUUGGUAGGGUAAAAGCCUACCAAGGCGACGAUCCAUAGCUGGUCUGAGAGAAUGAUCAGCCACACUGGGACUGAGACACGGCCCAGACUCCUGCGAGAGGCAGCAGUGGGGAAUAUUGGACAGUGGGAGAAAGCCUGAUCCAGCAAUGCCGCGUGAGUGAUGAAGGCGUUAGGGUUGUAAAGCUCUUUUACCCGGGACGAUAAUGACAGUACCGAGAGAAUAAACUCCGGCUAAUUCCGU